This 531-nucleotide ribosomal RNA is filed under the name uncultured bacterium. Its description in RNAcentral is "bacterial SSU rRNA". It matches the Rfam family "Bacterial small subunit ribosomal RNA", at positions 977 to 1509 of the family's 1533-position model. The record is from RNAcentral.
GGCCUUGACAUACUAAGAACUUUCCAGAGAUGGAUUGGUGCCUUCGGGAACUUAGAUACAGGUGCUGCAUGGCUGUCGUCAGCUCGUGUCGUGAGAUGUUGGGUUAAGUCCCGNAACGAGCGCAACCUUUUCCUAUUUGCCAGCGGGUCAUGCCGGGAACUUUAAGGAUACUGCCAGUGACAAACUGGAGGAAGGCGGGGACGACGUCAAGUCAUCAUGGCCCUUACGGCCAGGGCUACACACGUGCUACAAUGGUCGGUACAAAGGGUUGCUACCUCGCGAGAGGAUGCUAAUCUCAAAAAGCCGAUCGUGGUCCGGAUCGCAGUCUGCAACUCGACUGCGUGAAGUCGGAAUCGCUAGUAAUCGCGGAUCAGAAUGCCGCGGUGAAUACGUUCCCGGGCCUUGUACACACCGCCCGUCACACCAUGGGAGUUUGUUGCACCAGAAGUAGGUAGUCUAACCGCAAGGAGGACGCUUACCACGGUGUGGCCGAUGACUGGGGUGAAGUCGUAACAAGGUAGGCGUAGAUGA